Molecule: ribosomal RNA, 30 nt
Filed under: Desmodesmus armatus
Lineage: Eukaryota; Viridiplantae; Chlorophyta; Chlorophyceae; Sphaeropleales; Scenedesmaceae
Also listed under: 1 other name
Description: partial 26S ribosomal RNA
Source: RNAcentral
GUUCGACCUGAGCUCAGGCAAGGCUACCCG